UGGCUCAUUUAAUGUCCAUGUUCAUUUGGUUUUGAUUGUCGCUAGUUUUUUGGCACAAGUUUCACGAACAACUGUUGGAAUCUCACCUCUUUUUAAGCAAGGUUUUCUAGCAGAUUCGUUGCUUAUAAAACAAAGUUUCUUUUUUUUUUAUGCUUAUGAUUCUUGAAGUUGUGUCACAAAUUCUUUGAACUUGUUUUUCUGCUAACCUUCCUGGGAAAUUGUUAGGUGAGCAAUAACGUUUGGAGGUAGCCAUGUGUAUUUUAGGUUUGGAUUUGUAAAAGUCUUAUUUGUACAUCAUUCUCAUAAGUGCCUGAUCGGUCAUUUCUUUGGUUAAGACGUUCUCCAUCAAUUCUUCCUUCUUCUAUUUCUCAAAGUUUCUCGUUUGAUGUUUGAAUAUGUAUAAGAAUAAAGCUUAUUCGCUUCUAUCUGAAAUAUUGAAAUUGACUUGCCCAACGUAUAGCUUUACUUCCAAGAAUGAAUCUUUGGUUGAAUCAAUUAACUUCCGCCU
This 508-nucleotide long non-coding RNA is filed under the name Capsicum annuum. RNAcentral's name for it is "long non-coding RNA (CANN_LNC008950)". The record is from RNAcentral. Lineage: Eukaryota; Viridiplantae; Streptophyta; Magnoliopsida; Solanales; Solanaceae.